Molecule: transfer RNA, 72 nt
Filed under: Alosa alosa (allis shad)
Lineage: Eukaryota; Metazoa; Chordata; Actinopteri; Clupeiformes; Clupeidae
Description: tRNA-Cys
Rfam family: tRNA
About the family: Transfer RNA (tRNA) molecules are approximately 80 nucleotides in length. Their secondary structure includes four short double-helical elements and three loops (D, anti-codon, and T loops).
Source: RNAcentral
GGGGGUAUAGCUCAGUGGUAGAGCAUUUGACUGCAGAUCAAGAGGUCCCAGGUUCAAAUCCUGAUGCACGCA